Molecule: ribosomal RNA, 253 nt
Filed under: uncultured bacterium
Lineage: Bacteria
Description: partial 16S ribosomal RNA
Rfam family: Bacterial small subunit ribosomal RNA
Source: RNAcentral
UACGUAGGUGGCAAGCGUUGUCCGGAAUUAUUGGGCGUAAAGCGCACGUAGGCGGCUAUUCAAGUCAGAGGUGAAAGCCCAGGGCUCAACCCUGGAACUGCCUUUGAAACUAGAUAGCUAGAAUUCUGGAGAGGUCAGUGGAAUUCCUGGUGUAGCGGUGGAAUGCGUAGAGAUCAGGAAGAACACCCAUGGCGAAGGCAGCUCUCUGGGCCGGUACUGACGCUGAGACGCGAAAGCGCGGGGAGCGAACAGG